CCAUCAUCCGGACAUUCCGAAAUGAGAAUAGAACUGAAAGAUUACCAACACAAGGUGGUCGGGAACGUGUUCUGUCUCCUGAACAGGAAACUGAAAUCAUGAACAUGGUCCUAGAAAAUAACGCCAUAACAUUACGGCAAAUACAAA
Molecule: long non-coding RNA, 147 nt
Organism: Coregonus clupeaformis (lake whitefish)
Lineage: Eukaryota; Metazoa; Chordata; Actinopteri; Salmoniformes; Salmonidae
Exons: 2
Source: RefSeq, a predicted model, not a curated record